AUACAAUUGAUGAGUCCCAAAUAGGACGAAACGCGCGUCAUAGAU
Schistosoma margrebowiei is the source of this 45-nucleotide non-coding RNA. The record is from Rfam. NCBI's taxonomy places the organism in Eukaryota, Metazoa, Platyhelminthes, Trematoda, Strigeidida, Schistosomatidae.